CCUACGGGGGGCAGCAGUGAGGAAUAUUGGUCAAUGGACGAGAGUCUGAACCAGCCAAGUAGCGUGAAGGAUGACUGCCCUAUGGGUUGUAAACUUCUUUUAUAAAGGAAUAAAACGAGGCACGUGUGCCUUUUUGCAUGUACUUUAUGAAUAAGGAUCGGCUAACUCCGUGCCAGCAGCCGCGGUAAUACGGAGGAUCCGAGCGUUAUCCGGAUUUAUUGGGUUUAAAGGGAGCGUAGAUGGGUUGUUAAGUCAGUUGUGAAAGUUUGCGGCUCAACCGUAAAAUUGCAAUUGAUACUGGCAGUCGUGAGUACAGUUGAGGUAAGCGGAAUUCGUGGUGUAGCGGUGAAAUGCUUAGAUAUCACGAAGAACCCCGAUUGCGAAGGCAGCUUACUAAACUGUGACUGACAUUGAUGCUCGAAAGUGUGGGUAUCAAACAGGAUUAGAUACCCCGGUAGUC
RNAcentral lists this ribosomal RNA (460 nucleotides) under uncultured bacterium. RNAcentral describes it as "partial 16S ribosomal RNA". It matches the Rfam family "Bacterial small subunit ribosomal RNA", at positions 338 to 795 of the family's 1533-position model. The record is from RNAcentral.